CGGUAAAACGCGCUGGAGGACCGAACCCACGUAAGUUGAAAAUUGCGGGGAUGAGUUGUGGGUAGCGGUGAAAUUCCAAACGAACUUGGAGAUAGCUGGUUCUCUCCGAAAUAGCUUUAGGGCUAGCCUCGCAAAGAGGAUGCUGGAGGUAGAGCUCUGUUUGGACUAGGGGCCCGUCAAGGGUUACUGAAUUCAGAUAAACUGCGAAUUCCAGACAUUUAUGUGCGGGAGUCAGACUGCGAGUGAUAAGAUCCGUAGUCGAAAGGGAAACAGCCCAGAUCACCAGUUAAGGUCCCAAAAUUCAUGCUAAGUGGAAAAGGAUGUGGAGUUGCGCAGACAACUAGGACGUUGGCUCAGAAGCAGCCAUCAUUCAAAGAGUGCGUAAUAGCUCACUAGUCGAGUGACGCCGCGCCGAAAAUUUACCGGGGCUAAGCAUGAUACCGAAACUGUGGAUGUGCAUUUAUGCACGUGGUAGGAGAGCGUUCUAGCGGCGGUGAAGCAUGACCGAGAGGACAUGUGGAGCUUCUAGAAGUGAGAAUGCCGGUAUGAGUAACGAAAGACAGGUGAGAAUCCUGUCCGCCGCAAGACUAAGGUUUCCUGGGGCAGGCUCGUCCGCCCAGGGUAAGUCGGGACCUAAGGCGAGGCCGAGAGGCGUAGUCGAUGGACAACAGGUUGAAAUUCCUG
RNAcentral lists this ribosomal RNA (684 nucleotides) under Lactobacillus delbrueckii subsp. bulgaricus. RNAcentral's name for it is "partial 23S ribosomal RNA". It matches the Rfam family "Bacterial large subunit ribosomal RNA", at positions 754 to 1441 of the family's 2925-position model. The record is from RNAcentral. Lineage: Bacteria; Bacillati; Bacillota; Bacilli; Lactobacillales; Lactobacillaceae.